UAAAUAUCGAAUUUGAUACUCAAAAAUAAAUAUCGACUAUUGAUACUUCAACAUAAAAAAAAUCGACGAUAUUUAUGAAUUAUUUUUUGAAAAAAUAUCGAUAGUAUAAAAUAUCGAUAUUUUAUGGCCUAUCAGUUAGUCGGAACACUAUCCUCUUAUUAUAUAUAUUAUCAUCACAUAGAAUAUGUGAUAUUCAUUUUGAACCAAUUUGUAGAAACCCCAAUGGCAGGUUAAAAAAAGUUUCACUGCCUACUCUACAUUUACCUGGUAAACACUUAUAUUUACUGUGACAAUAAACCUCUUAUGAAUCAUAGCGAAAAGUUAUGCAGAGGAAAAGAAUUGCUAUUUUUGUUUGUAGGUUACGAAAAAGGUGAAAAUGAUAUUUUUUUGGUACAUUUUCAACUCCAAAAAAACUGAGAGGUAGGUAUGAAUUGUAAUAUAUUAUUUCCACAAAAAUCUGCCUGUUAAUUCUUCUAGUCAUGUAAUCAAGAUGCUAAACUGUUUGAAUCAUUGUUCAUUUUGGAUAUAGGCAUAACUCAACCAUUUAUGACAAUUAUAAGCAGGUAGUUAUUUAAAAACAAAGAGAAAUGGAUUGAUGAGUUUAACAUCUGGGGAACAGGCUUCAUGUUUUUAUUUCAUAUUAAUAACUAAAAGGAUUAUUCAUUAAUAUUCAAUUACAAUUUAGAAUCAAUUGCAAGGACUAGUUCCUCUAUCAGCACCUUUACUGGUAACAGCCCAAUAGAGGGAACAAAAAAACCUGUUAAGGUGUACACAAGGAAGCGAUUAUUUCAAGCCCUCGUUGAAAAACCUUGUAAGUAUGAAUUCAAAAAGGCAAUAUUUUUAUAUAUAAUUGUAAUAGUUGUAGUCACAACUAUUGACACUGUCCAUAUAAUAAAUUUGAAUAGAACCCGAGUCAAAUUUUUUGUUUGUGGAUAUAGUUAUAAAAUGUAAAAACAAAAUAAAAAAUAUAAUAAUUAUCCUGUGUUUCAAUAUUCCAUCUACCUAUAUCUUAUAUAAACCAUUUAAUUGUGAAAUUUAGAUGGUGGGACCUGGUUGUCACAUAAAUUGUAAAUGAAACCAAAAUAUUUUACAAAAUACUUCAUUUUAAUUUCAGGUAUUUAUAUUUUCUUGUAAACAACAAUAUUUGUAUUUGAAUGUUAGCAAAAUGAAAAUAUUUUGCAUAAUACUUUUGUUUCAUUCACAAUAGACACCCUAAGUCUUGACGUCACAGAGACGGGCGGAGCUUAUACAGACUCCAAACAUAUCGUUGAUAAUGGUAAAUGCCCAUAAGCAAUUUUUCAUUUAGUGUUUUCGUGGUGAUAAAAUAAGACUUUUCAGUUGAAUAUAUUGUUGAAGGAACGUACUAUUUAAGAGGUUUUUAUUAGUUUUUCACAAUGUGAGUUAAUUUAACAUAUUAGUUCUGCUUUAAAACUAAUUAAUUUUUAGGUUUUUAAGAUUUAGGACUGCUUCAGAAUGGAUAUGUGUUUUUUUCCAAAAUGUAAACAUUAUAGUUCAAAACAUCCAUGUAAAUUUUUUCGGUUCCCAAAAAACAAGACCGAGAGGAAUAGAUGGAUUUCUCUCAUAAGAAGAAAGAUAGAGAUUCAAGUGAAUUUGCAAAAGUGUGCGCUUGUCACUUUUUAAAUAAAGAAAAAAAGAAUGGGCCAACUUAAUUUGAUUUCAAUAUUCAAACAAGAGUUUGAUAUAAAAUCACCAGAAAAAAGAAAGCGAACUGUAAAAAACCUUGUGACCGACCUACUACCAGGACCUUCAACAGAAUCACUACCAGGUCCUUCAGGUGAGCCACUUACAGGACCUUCAACUGAGCCACUACCAGGAUAAUUUUGAGUUUUAAAUAUUUUUUAUUGCAGCAAUAUAUUUCCUUAUUCGACUUUUUUUUGUAAAAAUUUUUAUUUAAAAAAUGUAUAUUUAGAUUUUACUUAAUUUAUAAAUGACUUGAUGUAAUAUAAUUAUUGUUAAAAGUAAUAA
This is a long non-coding RNA of Diorhabda sublineata, 1986 nucleotides long. RefSeq lists it as uncharacterized. The record is from RefSeq and is a predicted model, not a curated record. The transcript is spliced from 4 exons. Lineage: Eukaryota; Metazoa; Arthropoda; Insecta; Coleoptera; Chrysomelidae.